ACAUAGUCAUACAGCAAAUGUUGUGUUUUGAGCCAAUGUUAACUGUAAGACUGUGUCU
This 58-nucleotide microRNA precursor is filed under the name Bactrocera dorsalis (oriental fruit fly). RNAcentral's name for it is "microRNA bdo-mir-999 precursor". Its record names the gene bdo-mir-999. The record is from miRBase by way of RNAcentral. Lineage: Eukaryota; Metazoa; Arthropoda; Insecta; Diptera; Tephritidae.